CAAGAAGCUGAGGAGGGAGGCUGACCUCCAGUGACCACUCUGCACCGCUCUGGACGACACCCUCCCCCACCAGGUUCAUCCUCCUAAUUCGUUUUAAUCAUCCCAAAUUUUUUUGUCUUACCACAGUUAAGAAAUACGAUUCAUGUUUGCUAUUGCAUUUGGAGCUCCAUCCUUACAACUUAUGGAUAAUAUGAAUACAUCAAGGUGUUUUGGUUCUCCCCAUUCUGUAUGUUCGCAAUGGAGUGUAUAUAUUGUUGAUUUAUGUCAUGGUGAUUGAAUUUGAUUGCAGAGAGAAAGUGCAAAAGCUAUGGGCAAUCCUAUAUGACUGGCGCCAUCAGUAAGGAUUUAUUUAAAGCUAGCUUACUUUUGGGUCUAAGCCAAGUUUAUUUCUUUCGCAGAUUUAUUCACCUUAUUGGGACGGUGGGGUUAAUAUAUAUACAUCAACUUUGAGCAUCAGCAACGCAUGAAGCUUGCUUCUGAGGCUGCAACAUACUUUGCAAUCCCCCUGUGAAACAUACUUUUGUCACUAUGCACAUAUGGUUAUUCGAACAGAUUGAUUUCGAUUAGACUAUCUUUUUCCUAAUUACUUGUUAUAUGAUGUUCUUUACUAUUCAGAGGUUGUUGAAGGGAGAUGGGGCUCUUCAGGCCCCUUUGGUGCAAAAGCACAAGCAACAACAUCUACAGCUGACCACUUAUAGCCUAGGAUGUCCUGCAGAUUUGAUCUAUUUUGGAUAGAGUACAUGGAAUCAAACCACAGGAUACCCAAGCAGUGCGUACAAAUUGUAGUGGUGCUUGUAGCUUAUCAUCAAUCUGCCAUUAUUAUUUGUAUGUUGAAUGGGCGCUUUAUAUUUUAGGGCGGAAGACUGAAGCAAAGAAAACUGCGGCUCUUUAGUAUAUCUUCAGAUUUGCGGCUCUUUGAGCCGUGGUACAUUUGAUUUGAGACCCGGAUGAGGUCGGUUAAAUUAGGAUUAAAGUCCGCACAAUAACUAGGAACACUGAACAAGCAAGGCUAUUCAGAUGAAGUCUGCACUUAAUACUAUAGGUUUCUUUUUGGGCUCUUGUACAGCUUCGCUAGCAUCAUGAAUUAAUUGUGGGAUAUGAUGCACAGUAGUAGCUUCUUCUGUUUAUUUUAGAAAUCUUAGUUUAUAGGUUUCCUUUUCGUCUCUUGUACUAAUGUUCAGGGUAAUGGAAAUCUUGUAUGAUAAUCUGCACAUAGUUGAUACUAACAAUAGAAUGAUGACAUGUUUGUUUUUGGGCAUAAAGUUAUGUGCUGAUCCUCUUGCAUUUGGAUUCCGGUCUUACCCUGACUAUGCGGAUAUGCUAUUCUAUGUUGGUUUUACGUUUCUUAUUGGAAGAGUGAGAUGCCCAGGACAGAAUCCAGUUUGUAUCAACGCCUCAUUGGUAAGCACGCUCAGGUUUAAUGUUACUGCAAUUUCCUCCCUAAUUUCAGCCCUAGGAACUAUACCAGAUCAUCAUAAGGGUGUGUGAACUCGCACCUGGUCUUGAUGCUAUUUUUGCUGCAUGGUAGUCAUUAUUUUCUUAUGUCUUGCCUGAUGACCUCUUAAGUUCCUAUUU
This is a non-coding RNA of Aegilops tauschii subsp. strangulata, 1575 nucleotides long. The record is from RefSeq and is a predicted model, not a curated record. NCBI's taxonomy places the organism in Eukaryota, Viridiplantae, Streptophyta, Magnoliopsida, Poales, Poaceae.